RNAcentral lists this ribosomal RNA (419 nucleotides) under bacterium. RNAcentral's name for it is "partial 16S ribosomal RNA". It matches the Rfam family "Bacterial small subunit ribosomal RNA", at positions 355 to 776 of the family's 1533-position model. The record is from RNAcentral.
UGGGGGAUAUUGCACAAUGGGCGAAAGCCUGAUGCAGCGACGCCGCGUGGGGGAUGAAGGCCUUCGGGUUGUAAACUUCUUUUGCUCUGAACAAGGCGCACCAUGGGGUGUGUUGAGUGUAGGGGUUGAUUAGCGCCGGCUAACUACGUGCCAGCAGCCGCGGUAAUACGUAGGGCGCGAGCGUUGUCCGGAAUUAUUGGGCGUAAAGGGCUUGUAGGUGGCUGGUUGCGUCUGUCGUGAAAGCUCAUGGCUUAACUGUGGGUUUGCGGUGGGUACGGGCUGGCUUGAGUGCAGUAGGAGAGGCUGGAAUUCCUGGUGUAGCGGUGGAAUGCGCAGAUAUCAGGAGGAAUACCGGUGGCGAAGGCGGGUCUCUGGGCUGUUACUGACACUGAGGAGCGAGAGCAUGGGGAGCGAACAGG